AGUGAACGCUGGCGGUAGGCCUAACACAUGCAAGUCGAACGGCAGCACAGUAAGCGCUUGCUCUUACGGGUGGCGAGUGGCGGACGGGUGAGGAAUACAUCGGAAUCUACUUUUUCGUGGGGGAUAACGUAGGGAAACUUACGCUAAUACCGCAUAUGACCUACGGGUGAAAGCAGGGGAUCUUCGGACCUUGCGCGAUUGAAUGAGCCGAUGUCGGAUUAGCUAGUUGGCGGGGUAAAGGCCCACCAAGGCGACGAUCCGUAGCUGGUCUGAGAGGAUGAUCAGCCACACUGGAACUGAGACACGGUCCAGACUCCUACGGGAGGCAGCAGUGGGGAAUAUUGGACAAUGGGCGCAAGCCUGAUCCAGCCAUACCGCGUGGGUGAAGAAGGCCUUCGGGUUGUAAAGCCCUUUUGUUGGGAAAGAAAAGCAGCAGGUUAAUACCCCGCUGUUCUGACGGUACCCAAAGAAUAAGCACCGGCUAACUUCGUG
This 492-nucleotide ribosomal RNA is filed under the name uncultured bacterium. Its description in RNAcentral is "partial 16S ribosomal RNA". It matches the Rfam family "Bacterial small subunit ribosomal RNA", at positions 29 to 507 of the family's 1533-position model. The record is from RNAcentral.